UAAUCAUUAGUUUUUUAAUUGAAAGCUGGUAUGAAAGAUUGGACAAGGAUCUAACUGUCUCUUUUUUAAAAGUUGAAUUUUAUUUUUGAGUUAAAAAGCUUAAAUUCUUUUGUAAGACGAGAAGACCCUAUAGAGUUUUAUAUUUAAAAAUUAAAAUUUGAUUUUAGGGGUAAGUCUUUUUAAUUGGUGUAAUAUUUUGUUGGGGUGACAGAAAAAUUUGAUGAACUUUUUCUUUUUUUAAUAUAAAUUUAUAGAUUUUUGAUUUAAAUUUUUAAUUAUAAGAUCAAAUUACCUUAGGGAUAACAGCGUAAUUUUUCUAUAGAGUUCAAAUCGAAAGAAAAGAUUGCGACCUCGAUGUUGGAUUAAAGUUAAAAUUUGGUGUAGAAGCUAUAUAGUUUAGUCUGUUCGACUAUUAAAACUUUACAUGAUCUGAGUUUAAACCGGCGUGUGCCAGGUUGGUUUCUAUCUUCAAUAUUUUAAAAUAUUUUAGUACGAAAGGACCAGAUGUUUUUUAAAUUAAUUUUAUUUUGUCUUAUAUU
RNAcentral lists this ribosomal RNA (539 nucleotides) under Agrilus arcuatus. RNAcentral describes it as "partial 16S ribosomal RNA". The stretch from base 299 to 457 matches the Rfam family "Bacterial large subunit ribosomal RNA", at positions 2473 to 2632 of the family's 2925-position model. Lineage: Eukaryota; Metazoa; Arthropoda; Insecta; Coleoptera; Buprestidae. The record is from RNAcentral.